UAAGAUGAGAGUUUGAUCCUGGCUCAGGACGAACGCUGGCGGCAUGCCUAAUACAUGCAAGUCGAACGAGCUUCCGUUGAUUGACGUGCUUGCACUGAUUUCAACAAUGAAGCGAGUGGCGAACUGGUGAGUAACACGUGGGUAACUUGCCCAGAAGCAGGGGAUAACACUUGGAAACAGGUGCUAAUACCGUAUAACAACAAAAACCGCAUGGUUUUUGUUUGAAAGGUGGUUUCGGCUAUCACUUCUGGAUGGACCCGCGGCGUAUUAGUUAGUUGGUGAGGUAAAGGCCCACCAAGACAAUGAUACGUAGCCGACCUGAGAGGGUAAUCGGCCACAUUGGGACUGAGACAUGGCCCAAACUCCUACGGGAGGCAG
Molecule: ribosomal RNA, 378 nt
Filed under: Levilactobacillus hammesii
Lineage: Bacteria; Bacillati; Bacillota; Bacilli; Lactobacillales; Lactobacillaceae
Description: bacterial SSU rRNA
Rfam family: Bacterial small subunit ribosomal RNA
Source: RNAcentral